GUGUCAGCCGCCGCGGUAAUACGUAGGGACCAAGCGUUGUUCGGAUUUACUGGGCGUAAAGGGCGCGUAGGCGGCAAUUCAAGUCAGCUGUGAAAUCUCUGGGCUUAACCCAGAACGGCCAGCUGAUACUGCUUUGCUAGAGUGCAGAAGGGGCAAUCGGAAUUCUUGGUGUAGCGGUGAAAUGCGUAGAUAUCAAGAGGAACACCUGAGGUGAAGACGGGUUGCUGGGCUGACACUGACGCUGAGGCGCGAAAGCCAGGGGAGCAAACGGGAUUAGAAACCCGGGUAGUCC
RNAcentral lists this ribosomal RNA (292 nucleotides) under uncultured bacterium. Its description in RNAcentral is "partial 16S ribosomal RNA". It matches the Rfam family "Bacterial small subunit ribosomal RNA", at positions 505 to 796 of the family's 1533-position model. The record is from RNAcentral.